This 429-nucleotide ribosomal RNA is filed under the name Gemmatimonadota bacterium. RNAcentral describes it as "Gemmatimonadetes bacterium partial 16S ribosomal RNA". It matches the Rfam family "Bacterial small subunit ribosomal RNA", at positions 355 to 776 of the family's 1533-position model. Lineage: Bacteria; Pseudomonadati; Gemmatimonadota. The record is from RNAcentral.
UAGGGAAUCUUCGGCAAUGGACGAAAGUCUGACCGAGCAACGCCGCGUGAGUGAAGAAGGUUUUCGGAUCGUAAAACUCUGUUGUUAGAGAAGAACAAGGACGUUAGUAACUGAACGUCCCCUGACGGUAUCUAACCAGAAAGCCACGGCUAACUACGUGCCAGCAGCCGCGGUAAUACGUAGGCGGCAAGCGUUGUCCGGAUUUAUUGGGCGUAAAGCGAGCGCAGGCGGUUUCUUAAGUCUGAUGUGAAAGCCCCCGGCUCAACCGGGGAGGGUCAUUUGAAACUGUGAGACUUGAGUGCAGAAGAGGAGAGUUGAAUUCCAUGUGUAGCGGUGAAAUGCGUAGAUAUAUGGAGGAACACCAGUGGCGAAGGCGGCUCUCUGGUCUGUAACUAACGCUGAGGCUCGAAAGCGUGGGGAGCAAACAGG